RNAcentral lists this ribosomal RNA (407 nucleotides) under uncultured bacterium. Its description in RNAcentral is "bacterial SSU rRNA". It matches the Rfam family "Bacterial small subunit ribosomal RNA", at positions 355 to 774 of the family's 1533-position model. The record is from RNAcentral.
UGGGGAAUAUUGCACAAUGGGGGGAACCCUGAUGCAGCGACGCCGCGUGCGGGAUGACGGCCUUCGGGUUGUAAACCGCUUUUAUUGGGGAGCAAGCGUGAGUGAGUGUACCUUUUGAAUAAGCACCGGCUAACUACGUGCCAGCAGCCGCGGUAAUACGUAGGGUGCAAGCGUUGUCCGGAAUUAUUGGGCGUAAAGAGCUCGUAGGCGGUUUGUCGCGUCUGGUGUGAAAGUCCAUCGCUUAACGGUGGAUUGGCGCUGGGUACGGGCAGGCUAGAGUGUAGUAGGGGAGACUGGAAUUCUCGGUGUAACGGUGGAAUGUGUAGAUAUCGGGAAGAACACCAAUGGCGAAGGCAGGUCUCUGGGCUAUUACUGACGCUGAGGAGCGAAAGCGUGGGGAGCGAACA